AAAAUACUUAAUCAUGCAGUAAACAACCUCUACAUACAUGGAUUAAAUUUUCUCAAAAUAAACAACCAAAGCCGGAUAUAUCAAUCUCAAUUUAAUCACGAGUUUAUAUGGUUUUACCUCGGUUAAUUUCGACUAAAUUAUGGUCACAGAAUCGUAUGAAAUAAGACAGGAGAUGAAUUCCUUGACCAUAUUUAACACAGUAUCUUUCAUGAUCACCAAAAACAAAAAAAAUAAACAAAAAAAUAAAUACAGCAUUAGAUCGAGAAGCAUGGCAUCAAUGAGAAAUUACAAAUCGUAGACCUGCUUGCCGGUGAACUUGACCUCGAUGGGGCUGGCGUUCUUCCCGAUGGACCGGAGGUUCAGGCCAACGCCGGUGCGCCCGGCGUUGACCUUCUCCGGGUAUACCCCAUCCUUGGGGUGCAGAUACUGCACCUCGCCGUUGGGGAAUACCCGGUAGAACUGGUACUUGAUCUUGUACUUGGACCGGAGGCGGGUGCCGAGGGCGAGGCACUGCUCCUUCCGGGCCAGCUUCAGCAGGUUCGGGCCCUGCCGCAUGAUGGCGGCGCCGCCCGUCGGCAUCUCGAACACCUGCUCCUUGGGGGAGUCCCACGUGAUCACGUAGAACUCCUCCACCUGCGCCUUGCGCAGGAGCCCGCCCGUGCUGCCCCCGAAGAUCGGGGACGGCGUGUUCGGGUCCAGCUCCGGCGGGGUGAACCCCGCCGGGGCUGCGGGCGCCUCCUUGGUCGGGGCCUCCUCCGCCAUCGCGCGGAUGGGGCCCCGAGCUAGGGUUUUGGAGGGCUUGAGGGAUGGGAAGUGGGCGAGGGACUGCUUCCACGGGGCCGCCACGGCGGAUUUCGGGACGGCGGCGGCGGAGAAGAGGGAGGCUUGCGUUGCCAUUGCCAUGGAUUCUCUUUUGGGUGGUGGAAAUGGAAUUGGAAUUGGAGGGUGGAAUAAUAUUUGAUGAGAAAUAAUGUUUGGGAGAUUUGGAUAUUGGGAUAAGGUGAUAUGGGUGAGACCAAUUAGAUUGUGUGAUUUUGAUACCAAGCCUUACCCUUACCCCUUGCUUUGUGGUGCCAUCUGUAUUUAUUUGGAUUUCCUAUUUUAUUUUUAUUUUUUUUGUAAUAUCUCACACUUCAUAUUUGGUCUUGUUUGACCUUCUUGUAACUAAUAAGUUCGAUAUGCCAUUUCGAAAAUACCUCCACUUAAUUCUUCAUAUAAUUAACCAUAAUACAUUACAUCUCCUUCUAUUAUUAUUGUUAAUAAAUGAUAUUUUAGAAAAUUAUGAUAUCUUAUGUGCAUGAAUAAUAUAAAAAUAAGUAAUGAGUAAUAUAAUACGAUUAGUAAUAGAAGAUCUAAUGUACUAUUACUUUAAAAACAUAGUCAUCUGAUGAGGGUGAAAUUUAGCGUAACAAGAAUUAUAUUAGAUGUUGAGUUGGCUCCGACUCUCUAUGCGAUGAUUUCUGGGAAGCUUUUGUUCAUGCUAAAAAUAAUGUGGUUUUGGAGUUUUUUCAUGCUCGUUGGGAGGUUAGUAGGGC
RNAcentral lists this long non-coding RNA (1535 nucleotides) under Salvia miltiorrhiza (redroot sage). RNAcentral's name for it is "long non-coding RNA (SMIL_LNC010335)". Lineage: Eukaryota; Viridiplantae; Streptophyta; Magnoliopsida; Lamiales; Lamiaceae. The record is from RNAcentral.